GCUCCUGUAGUUCAAUGGAUAGAAUUAUGGUUUCCGGUACCGUCGAUAGGGGUUCGAAUCCCUUCAGGAGCA
RNAcentral lists this transfer RNA (72 nucleotides) under Mucilaginibacter terrae. RNAcentral's name for it is "tRNA-Arg". It matches the Rfam family "tRNA". From Rfam's summary of the family: Transfer RNA (tRNA) molecules are approximately 80 nucleotides in length. Their secondary structure includes four short double-helical elements and three loops (D, anti-codon, and T loops). Further hydrogen bonds mediate the characteristic L-shaped molecular structure. tRNAs have two regions of fundamental functional importance: the anti-codon, which is responsible for specific mRNA codon recognition, and the 3' end, to which the tRNAs corresponding amino acid is attached (by aminoacyl-tRNA synthetases). tRNAs cope with the degeneracy of the genetic code in two manners: having more than one tRNA (with a specific anti-codon) for a particular amino acid; and 'wobble' base-pairing, i.e. permitting non-standard base-pairing at the 3rd anti-codon position. The record is from RNAcentral. Lineage: Bacteria; Pseudomonadati; Bacteroidota; Sphingobacteriia; Sphingobacteriales; Sphingobacteriaceae.